AUCUGGUUGAUCCUGCCAGAGGCGACCGCUAUUGGAGUUCGAUUAAGCCAUGCGAGUAGAAAGAAAUUAGAUUCUUUGCAUACUGCUCAGUAACACGUGGAUAACCUGCCCUACACUGGGGGAUAAUCUCGGGAAACUGAGGAUAAUACCCCAUAGACCACUACGCCUGGAACGGUGAGUGGUUGAAAGCUCAGGCGGUGUAGGAUGGGUCUGCGGCGUAUCAGGUCGUAGGGGGUGUAAUGGACCUCCUAGCCAUCGACGCGUACGGGUUGUGGGAGCAAUAGCCCGGAGGCGGAUUCUGAGACACGAAUCCGGACCCUACGGGGUGCAGCAGGCGCGAAAACUUCACACUGCAGGAAACUGUGAUGAGGGAACUCCAAGUGACUGCACAAUGUGUAGCCUUUCCUUGAAUUUUAAUAGUUCUUGGAAUAAGGGCUGGGAAAGACCGGUGCCAGCCGCCGCGGUAAUACCGGCAGCUCGAGUGGUCGUCGCUUUUAUUGGGCCUAAAACGUCCGUAGCCUGUUUGGUAAAUCUGUGGGUAAAUCAACGAGCUCAACUCGUUGAAUUCUGCAGAGACUGCCAGACUAGGGACCGGGAGAGGUAUGAGGUACUCUGGG
RNAcentral lists this ribosomal RNA (617 nucleotides) under uncultured Candidatus Poseidoniales archaeon. Its description in RNAcentral is "bacterial SSU rRNA". It matches the Rfam family "Archaeal small subunit ribosomal RNA", at positions 1 to 624 of the family's 1478-position model. Lineage: Archaea; Methanobacteriati; Thermoplasmatota; Candidatus Poseidoniia; Candidatus Poseidoniales. The record is from RNAcentral.